Non-coding RNA from Rattus norvegicus (Norway rat), 439 nucleotides. The record is from RefSeq and is a predicted model, not a curated record. NCBI's taxonomy places the organism in Eukaryota, Metazoa, Chordata, Mammalia, Rodentia, Muridae.
ACACGAAGGGAACGGAGUCAGUACAUGAUAAGAGCCUCUGGGAAGAUGAUCAAGGAAGGCCAGUGGACCGGAUGCUGUUGGAGUAGAAUCUUGAGAACAUAAGGAACGAACCCUUCUCUAGAUGGGUUGUACGUGGACUCUUCUAGAACUCCGGGAAGAGCGACGUGAAUGGAACAGAGUGAUGGAAAGGGGCGUGGCCGGAAAUGAUGUCAGAGAGUUCGUGGGCUCAGAUCUCAGGACCUAGCAAGCCACGGGUAGCUUCAGACUCCUCAGUGGUUGCACAGAGUGCAACAAAGUGUCGGGGAGAGAACAAGAUGGCUGCUCCACGCGAAAAGCAAGCCUCAGCAGUACUCUGGCCUAGUUAAAGCCCAGGCGCUCUUCUCCUUGCACCCAAAUGGACCACACUUGAGAAAUUAAAUAAACAGCAUUUGUCAGGGGC